CAUAAUGGAACUUUGGCUUAGGAAUACUUUACUUAUCCUGGCUGCAUACUAUUUUGGUACGGUAUAGUGCUUGUCAUUUCUACAUUCUCAUUCUCAGAACCUUAGCAUAUAUGUAUUAUAAAACCAGAAGAUAUACAUUUUUCAGAUUGCAAAGGUGAGCAGGCUGUUGACCAGCAGAGUGGACAUGUUACUGCCCUUGAAGGAGGACUGAUAACACUCAGCUGUAAUUACACUACCAGUAGUACAUCUCCUGAUCUCUUCUGGUACAUCCAGUUAACUAGGAACUCUCCUCAGUAUGUCCUGAGAAGAGAUCGUUAUUUAGAAGGGAGCAAUAGUGAUGAGUUCAAGAAGAGGUUUGAUUCCAGACUGAAUUUCACAUCUAGCUCUGUCCCCUUGACGAUCCAGAGGUUGCAGCUGUCUGACUCUGCUUUGUACUACUGUGCUCUGAGGCCCACUGUGACAACAUGAGAUUCAGUCACUGUACAAACACUCAGGGUACAGUGUUGUUCAGACAAAGUCACAAGGUUCUCAAUGUUUGACGACACACAGAAAGAGGAGGAGACAAGGAUUUCAUCAUCUCAUCAUUGCCUAGUUACAUCAGAGUGGUAUUACUCUUCUUCCACUAAUCUCACAGUAGCAGACAUGGAACCCUGGCUGGGGAAUGUACUGAUUCGUGCUGCAUUUUGUUAUGAAUGCAGAGAAGAAGACUCAGUCAUUCAGCCACCAGGAGAUGUGAUCGCUACUGAGGGAGAACAGGUCACAAUGGAUUGUCAAUUUGAUACUCUUGAUACAAACCGUACCUGUUCUGGUACAAGCAGGGAGCUAAUGACUUCCCAAAGUAUAUGCUGAGGCAGGUGACUUUUGGAUCAGUUAAUGCCAUUGAAUUCCUGGGGAGAUUCGAUGCCCAUCUCAAUUUAAUUACAUUUAAAUCAGUAUUAAAAUCAGUCCCCUUGAUGAUCCAGAGGUUCCCGCUGUCUGACUCUGCUGUUGUAACGCUCUGGGUGUCGUGGGUGUGGAGUCAGACGCAGGAAACAGAGAGUUCAAUACUGUGCUAUUUAAUGCACUCACGAAA
RNAcentral lists this long non-coding RNA (1072 nucleotides) under Oncorhynchus kisutch (coho salmon). RNAcentral's name for it is "lncRNA (ENSOKIG00005024869.1)". The record is from RNAcentral. Lineage: Eukaryota; Metazoa; Chordata; Actinopteri; Salmoniformes; Salmonidae.